CGGAACGUGUUAUCUGGAUCCACAGCAUAGCCGGGUUUACAAGAGCAGAUGAAGCCAGUGCCGUUCAGCAGAGGCUGAGUUGCUCAUCUGAGCGGUCUCCACAGUCGUUGAAGCCAUCACAUACCCACUGCUGGUUCACACACAGCUUGUUGUUACACUGGUACUGGUUUGAUGGACACCAGUGUCCUCCAGGAUAGCGAGUUGCUGUUGGGAAAAUAAAAGGUGGACUCAUCAGAGUAGUCCAGGCAGUCAGCAAAACCAUCACAUUUAAGAACUUCUGGGAUGCAGUGUCCAGAUGUACACUGGAAUGUUCCAGGACGACAGGUCCGCAGCUCUGCACACAAAAUAAAAUACUUGGUCAGUCCAAAAAUUAUCUAAAAAAGGGGGAAUCCUUGUACUCUAUUUUUGCAUUUUUAUUGCUUCAUCUGUAUACAUGUAAGUAUACUGUAGUAAACAGUAGCAUAUAGUAUGUGUUGCCAUAUGUCAUGUAUUUCUGAGUAAAACACUAUAUUCCAAUAAAUAAAUAAAUACAAAUGUCAGGAGUGACUUGACGUCUAUUAAUAUGUGCAUGCAUUUAAUGGACCCUUUAUUUUAGAGUGAAUUACAAAAGAAGAGAAAGAAAUUCAAAGAUUCAACAAUAUUUGUAAUACACAACAUCAGGUUUAUUAGAUAUCUAGAUUAGUGAGAAAGCUAAGAGAACAGUAGAAAUGCAUUGCUUAUUCAGUGACCAGAAGAUGUUUAGGGAAAGAAGGAAAGAAUGGGUGAGUGAAUGGGUUUUAUAUUGAAUUCAACUUACCACAGUCUCGCUCAUCAGAAUUGUCCCCACAAUCAUUGUCAUGGUCACAAACCCAAGAUCCUUGAAUGCACUGCUGGUUGUCACAGCGAUACUCACUCUCAGAGCAAGGUCUUGGUUCUGCGAGCACAUACAUGAAAACUCUUGAGCUCCAUACAGUACAUGCGUAAGAGGUAAUGUAUGGCUCAACGCAUUACUCACCACAGUUUCUCUCAUCUGAUCCAUCUACACAGUCAUUGUUCCCAUCACAGCGCCAGCGAAUGGGUACACAUCGGUGAUUAUCACAGCGGAAAUCUCCCAGAGGAUCACAGGUCAACUCAUCUGCAUGCAGCAAAAUGGGGAGCGGAACUGAGUGCUGGAGCAGUCGGCCACACACUGUAUCUUAAAGCCAAUUGCCAGACCAAUGAAGUGAUCUGGACACUCACAUCUGGCUGUCGUCCCACCCGGGCCAAUCAGACACAGGUGACUACAGGUCAGGUAAUGGUCAUUGCAGGGAUUGUUACCUAG
RNAcentral lists this long non-coding RNA (1300 nucleotides) under Carassius auratus (goldfish). RNAcentral describes it as "lncRNA (ENSCARG00000044426.1)". Lineage: Eukaryota; Metazoa; Chordata; Actinopteri; Cypriniformes; Cyprinidae. The record is from RNAcentral.